RNAcentral lists this small nuclear RNA (131 nucleotides) under Rattus norvegicus (Norway rat). Its description in RNAcentral is "U2 spliceosomal RNA (ENSRNOG00000068700.2)". It matches the Rfam family "U2 spliceosomal RNA". From Rfam's summary of the family: U2 is a small nuclear RNA (snRNA) component of the spliceosome (involved in pre-mRNA splicing). Complementary binding between U2 snRNA (in an area lying towards the 5' end but 3' to hairpin I) and the branchpoint sequence (BPS) of the intron results the bulging out of an unpaired adenosine, on the BPS, which initiates a nucleophilic attack at the intronic 5' splice site, thus starting the first of two transesterification reactions that mediate splicing. Lineage: Eukaryota; Metazoa; Chordata; Mammalia; Rodentia; Muridae. The record is from RNAcentral.
UCCAUUGUGUAGGCCUUUUGGCUAAGAUCAAGUGUAGUAUCUGUUCUUAUCAGUUUAUGAUGAUUAAUUUUUAUUGUUACUGGAAUUUUAUUUAGAACUUUGUAUGGCACUGGAUUCUAGGCAUAACACUG